Molecule: non-coding RNA, 29 nt
Filed under: Mus musculus (house mouse)
Lineage: Eukaryota; Metazoa; Chordata; Mammalia; Rodentia; Muridae
Source: RNAcentral
UCUUAUAGAACCGGAGACUACCAGCCCAC